ACAGUCUGCAAGAGUACGGUGUCACGCAUGGGUCCGUGAUUGAGAUGAGGAUGAGAAAGGGUGAAAAAGAUAGGAAAGAGAAGAUGCUUGCAUCGGAAGAUUACACUCAUGUAUCCAACGACAGAAAAGGGAAAAAGUCAUUGCUGGGUUCCAUAAUGGACAGGUUUCGCGGCAGGCGAAGUAAGUAAACAGAAACCUUUUGAUCCACGUUUAAUUUACCGUAAACGUCUAACUGCGAUUUGACGUUAGACCUUCGCCGUUCGC
Molecule: long non-coding RNA, 264 nt
Organism: Orbicella faveolata
Lineage: Eukaryota; Metazoa; Cnidaria; Anthozoa; Scleractinia; Merulinidae
Source: RefSeq, a predicted model, not a curated record